This 247-nucleotide long non-coding RNA is filed under the name dengue virus type 2. Its description in RNAcentral is "partial sfRNA1". The record is from RNAcentral. Lineage: Riboviria; Orthornavirae; Kitrinoviricota; Flasuviricetes; Amarillovirales; Flaviviridae.
UAGAAGUCAGGUCGGAUUAAGCCAUAGUACGGAAAAAACUAUGCUACCUGUGAGCCCCGUCCAAGGACGUUAAAAGAAGUCAGGCCAUUACAAAUGCCAUAGCKUGAGUAAACUGCGCAGCCUGUAGCUCCACCUGAGAAGGUGUAAAAAAUCUGGGAGGCCACAAACCAUGGAAGCUGUACGCAUGGCGUAGUGGACUAGCGGUUAGAGGAGACCCCUCCCUUACAAAUCGCAGCAACAAUGGGGG